AGAGUUUGAUCAUGGCUCAGAUUGAACGCUGGCGGCAGGCCUAACACAUGCAAGUCGAGCGGUAGCACAGAGAGCUUGCUCUCGGGUGACGAGCGGCGGACGGGUGAGUAAUGUCUGGGAAACUGCCUGAUGGAGGGGGAUAACUACUGGAAACGGUAGCUAAUACCGCAUAACGUCGCAAGACCAAAGUGGGGGACCUUCGGGCCUCAUGCCAUCAGAUGUGCCCAGAUGGGAUUAGCUAGUAGGUGGGGUAAUGGCUCACCUAGGCGACGAUCCCUAGCUGGUCUGAGAGGAUGACCAGCCACACUGGAACUGAGACACGGUCCAGACUCCUACGGGAGGCAGCAGUGGGGAAUAUUGCACAAUGGGCGCAAGCCUGAUGCAGCCAUGCCGCGUGUAUGAAGAAGGCCUUCGGGUUGUAAAGUACUUUCAGCGAGGAGGAAGGCGUUAAGGUUAAUAACCUUGGCGAUUGACGUUACUCGCAGAAGAAGCACCGGCUAACUCCGUGCCAGCAGCCGCGGUAAUACGGAGGGUGCAAGCGUUAAUCGGAAUUACUGGGCGUAAAGCGCACGCAGGCGGUCUGUCAAGUCGGAUGUGAAAUCCCCGGGCUCAACCUGGGAACUGCAUUCGAAACUGGCAGGCUAGAGUCUUGUAGAGGGGGGUAGAAUUCCAGGUGUAGCGGUGAAAUGCGUAGAGAUCUGGAGGAAUACCGGUGGCGAAGGCGGCCCCCUGGACAAAGACUGACGCUCAGGUGCGAAAGCGUGGGGAGCAAACAGGAUUAGAUACCCUGGUAGUCCACGCCGUAAACGAUGUCGACUUGGAGGUUGUGCCCUUGAGGCGUGGCUUCCGGAGCUAACGCGUUAAGUCGACCGCCUGGGGAGUACGGCCGCAAGGUUAAAACUCAAAUGAAUUGACGGGGGCCCGCACAAGCGGUGGAGCAUGUGGUUUAAUUCGAUGCAACGCGAAGAACCUUACCUACUCUUGACAUCCAGAGAACUUAGCAGAGAUGCUUUGGUGCCUUCGGGAACUCUGAGACAGGUGCUGCAUGGCUGUCGUCAGCUCGUGUUGUGAAAUGUUGGGUUAAGUCCCGCAACGAGCGCAACCCUUAUCCUUUGUUGCCAGCGAUUCGGUCGGGAACUCAAAGGAGACUGCCAGUGAUAAACUGGAGGAAGGUGGGGAUGACGUCAAGUCAUCAUGGCCCUUACGAGUAGGGCUACACACGUGCUACAAUGGCAUAUACAAAGAGAAGCGACCUCGCGAGAGCAAGCGGACCUCAUAAAGUAUGUCGUAGUCCGGAUUGGAGUCUGCAACUCGACUCCAUGAAGUCGGAAUCGCUAGUAAUCGUAGAUCAGAAUGCUACGGUGAAUACGUUCCCGGGCCUUGUACACACCGCCCGUCACACCAUGGGAGUGGGUUGCAAAAGAAGUAGGUAGCUUAACCUUCGGGAGGGCGCUUACCACUUUGUGAUUCAUGACUGGGGUGAAGUCGUAACAAGGUAACCGUAGGGGAACCUGCGGUUG
RNAcentral lists this ribosomal RNA (1520 nucleotides) under Klebsiella aerogenes. RNAcentral describes it as "bacterial SSU rRNA". It matches the Rfam family "Bacterial small subunit ribosomal RNA". The record is from RNAcentral. Lineage: Bacteria; Pseudomonadati; Pseudomonadota; Gammaproteobacteria; Enterobacterales; Enterobacteriaceae.